GUGUGGACAGUGAAGGUGUGCCCAGUACAGGAGGGUAUGCCAGCAUCUCCAGGAUGGGUGGCCGGUGUGAUAUAUUCCUCCUUCCAGGAGAUCUCCACUUAUGCCACUUUCUAAUAUCCCUAAAAAAAUAGCAACAAUUGAAGGUGGUUGGUAUCAAUAGAGACUGCCCAUCUGGCAAUAAUCGUGGAGCCUUUCUUACACUAUUUUUUUCCCUCAAUAUUUCUAAGGGCAAAUGUUCUAUGUGUGGCAGGUUUCUGUCGAUCUCAUCCCCUACUGCGGGUAGGAAACUCCUUAGACCAAGCAUAACUGACACUGAAUUGUCCUCUGCUUAUUCCAGGGUAAGGAGGACAUCUUGUACAGCAGCAGUGACCAAAAUGAGGGUGAAAGCGGUCUACCAUAGAGUGGAAUAGCUAUAUAAUUCCUGACCUCAUGAUGGGCACUGGAAUGCUUCCACAGCAUUUCUUGGAUCAAAGCAAGUCACAAGACCAGUGCAGACUCCGGGACUGGAAAAAUAGACUCCAACACUUGAUGGGAGGAGCUGCAAAGUCAUGUCACAAAUGAUGAGGAGAGAGCCAAAGGAAGGAUUAGUGGUCCAAAUGUGCAAUCUACCACGGGUAGCCAACAUCAUUCCUAUGUUAGCAAGAAGAAGGCUGAAGAAGGCCCCAUCAAAAUCAGAGAGAAUCAAAGUUCAUUUUGCAAAUUGGCUGGGACCCUCAUAGCCUUAAAAUGGAUGAAGCUGGAAACCAUCAUUCUAAGCAAACUAUCACAAAGACAGAAAACCAAACACCACAUGUUCUCACUCAUAGGUGGGAGUUGAACAAUGACAACACAUGGACACAGGGCGGGGAACAUCAUACACAGGGGCCGGUCGGGGGGUGGCGGACUGGGGGAGGGAUAGCAUUAGGAGAAAUACCUAGUAUAAAUGACGAGUUGAUGGGUGCAGCAAACCAACAUGGCACAUGUAUACCUAUGUAACAAACCUGCAUGUUGUGCACAUGUACCCUAGAACUUAAAGUAUAAUAAAAAUAAAUAAAUAAAUAAAAAUUAAAAUAUAUAUAUAAUUUCUAUUUUUCUGGCAUCUUAUUUCAUUCUGUUGUCUAAUGUGAAGCAAGAUUUCAUGUAAAUGGAAUUGCUGGCCAGACCAAAACAUUCAUGUGUGUGUGGUUCAUGCUAAUUCAACCCAUAUGACUGGAAAAUCUGAGAGAUCCUUAAUUUUCCUACUAUUAGGUGAAAAUUAACAAUUCUUUAAGAAUAUAGAUAAUAAAUUAUUUGCAUAUCAUUGCUCUUGCUUUAGUUUUGUCAAGUGUGACAGACAACUUUUCAUAAAGUACUUCCCCACAUUGGAGAGGGUGGAGAGGAGGACAGCUUCAGUAAUUCAGUGCAUUAAUCCAAUAACAUAGUAUCAUUAACUAAGGUAAAAACACCUUUUCAAUGGAUACCUCUGGAACUCUCCCUUUUGGUGUUAUGUAAUUGUAUUGUAAAUUUAACUAAGAUUUAUUUUUAGAACGUCAGCGUUUUAGCAACCACAUCUAUCAGUCCACCAACUACAAAGUCAAGACUCUUUUUGAAAAAGGCCUCAUGAAUACAAGUUAAGACAGUAGCUAAUGCUUUUAACUAAACAGCAUAAAUACAUAAUGCAAACAAAGACAAUUCUUCAAGAUGCACAUAGAGGGAAAAUAUAACCUUCAAGGUUUAGAAAAUGUCGGGUGCUUUAAAAUUAAAUGGUAUGAGAAAUAUAAAAAGCUAGAGGUAGUCCAGAAAAAUAGGAGAAAUAAACAACAUUUGUUAAAGUAAUUAGAGAUGAUAGUAUUAAUUAAAGUAAUUACAGAUGAUAGUAUUAAUUAAAGUAAUUAGAGAAGAUACUAUUAAUCUUGCAGUCUCCUCUGGCAUAAUAAAUGUGGAUUACAUUCUCUUUGUCUCUUCAGACCAAAACUAUAUAGAGGAGAAAGUAGGACAACUUUAGAAGUUUAUGAGAUGACAUGAAAAUGAGACAUGAAAACAAUCCAGGUAGGUAACUUAACAUCUUGAAGUGUUAGAGCUGAAAAGAUUAAUAGAGAUUAGAUUACAUAAUCCCUCAUUUUAAAGCUGAAGAAACUGAGUUGUUUGCCCAAGUUCGCACAGCUAACAGGUAACUAAUCUACUCCCCAAUAACUGAUUUUACUAUACUUGCCUUAGGGCCUGAUCACAAUUGCUUAGUAAGUUCCCAGUCAUGCUCAUCCAGUUUUUAUGACCUUAUUUUAACAUAUGUGAAAUAUUUUUAAAUUAAUUUCUGAAUAUUUUAGCAUGCUGGAGAAUGAGGGGCUCAUAGCUAGGAUCAAAGACUUCAUUGAAAGAUAUGGUUUGGAUGUGUGUUCCCUCCAAGUCUCAUAUUGAAAUUUUUACCCCCGUGUUGGAGUAGGGCAAUAGUGGAAGGUGGGGGUGAUGGAGGCAGAUCCCUCAUGCUAUUCUCACAGCAAUGAGUGAAUUCUCACUCUAUUAGUUCGUGUGAGAGCUGGUUGUUUAAAGAGCGUGGCGCCUUCUCCUCUUGCUCCUUCUCUCACCAUCUUCCCCCUUUACCUUCCACCAUGAUUGGAAGCUUCCUGAGGCCUCACUGGAAGCUGAGCAGAUGCUGGUGCCAUGCUUGUACAGUCUGCAGAACCAUGAGCCAACUACCCAGUCUCAGGUAUUUUUCUAUAGCAACACAAAAUGGAUUAACACAUUGAACUUCUGACUUAAAUCUCAACUCACCUAAUCACUGGGUUUUUGCAGAUGAGAUAUGGGUAAGUUGGGUUUCUGAAAAAUGUAGGAAGGGCUUCCACUUCUAUAAACAUGUUCAGCUACGUCUCUCUUCUCACCGAAGGUCCAGCACUGCUUCAAACUGGAUAAAUAAGCUACGAUUUCAGGCAAUCACGUGAGUAGAGGAACAUUGAGCUCUUCAUUUCUUUAGAGCAUAAACAGGCAUCAAAAGAGGUUUUUUUUAGAAUCGCUUGAGUUGUUGAUACUCUGAGGACAAAGUGUUGCCCACUAGAAGGAAGGACCAUGGGGAAAAGCAGACCUAAUUAUAUGAGACAUCUCCAACCUUGGCAGCCCCCAUGGCAUAAGUACUUCACUCUCAUAACCCGCAUAAGUACAGUUGUUCUCUGUAGUAAAUAUGUGAUGUAAAUUUGUGGAAAUAGGAAAGGAUGGGAGAAAGAAAGGAUUCAAAAAGGAAGAGGGAAGGGGAGAAAAAUAAAAAGAAAGUAUCAUUUAACAAGAACUUUUGAGUGUUCGUGGGUGGGCAGAGAGGAAGACCUGAGAAUUAAUGGAGAGAAAAAAGAUGUGGCUACAGAUGUAGGAGGUGAGAGGAUUCUAGAAUGAAGAUUAAUGUGAUAAAGAGGACAUUACAUAAUACGUUGGUGGGUUAUAAAUUAGUCCUCUUUGUCAUUAUUUUUAAAAAAUAAGUAAAUAAUGCAAUUAUUUUUAUGACUAUUGCUUGCCUGAUAGUACUUCUUUGUAUCCCACAAGGCCUUGACUUUUAUGGGAUGACAUCACCUGUUGCUUUCUGAGUUUUCAUCAAUUUCUAGAGCUGCAUUUUCUUCCACAAAACCUCUUGUUCUUAGUAAUGGCUGCUCACUCUACCUCUGGCCCUGCCUAUAACUCUGUUGGCUCAUGCUGCCAGAUACCUCUCUGUUGCUGUGGAGAACUGAGGAGUAACAACAUGAUAGUACAGCUUAAAAUAAAUACUAUCAUAGAGAAAAAUAAAAUAAAAUAUAAGGAUCAGGGGAGAAAAUACAUUUGUAGAAACAAAGAAAAUGAGAAGACUAUGAAGUGUUGCUACAAUUAAAAUGUUGAUUCUAAAUCUGUUUGAACUUCAGUUUCUCUUCUUUUUUUCUGAGUGAUCAGAUGGCUCAUAUUCUGAAUGUGUUAGCUUAGGCAUUCAGCUUAGAAUACACGUUGAUUAAUUCUGAAUUAUUCAGCGUUAAUCAGGUAUUGCUUCAAGUUUUCUUCUUUGUGCUUCAUGUCUCCAAAGUCAGAAAGUUGAGCUUAAAUACUUCUGAAUAAAGUAAUUCCUAAAUGAAAUGUGAGUGUGGCUCUACCAAACAGGAGGGGUGUUAGCUAUGCAAGGCUGGGCUGCCAAAGGGCAGUUUGGAAAGAAAAGGAAGCAAUUUCUCAAAAGAUGGAUGGAAUUGAUAUCAGGAUAUAAUCCUGUCUAUUUAAAAUGGUUGUAUACCUAUGUAACAAACCUGCACGUUGUGCACAUGUACCCUAGAACUUAAAGUAUUAUAUAUAUAUAAAAUGGUUUAGAUGACACGGUGCUUAAAGGCAGCAUUGCUGAUGGGCUCUGGGACCAAUACGGUGUUUCCGAGAGCUGCAGAGAGCUAUGGGACUCUGAGUAUUAUGAUAUCCAAGCCUUGGGAUAAUGUUCAGGAAAAAAUGCACAGGGGAAACUGAUAAUGUUUGCUAUUAAUGAUGGGGAUUGGGAAAAUACCUAAUGCAGUGAAAAAAAAAAAAGUGUGAUUUAGGUAUGGGUGGCCCUAUGCCCAAUCCUGAUUCUACCUUUUACCAGCCAUGUGGCUUAUUCCAUCUGAAUAACUAAGCUUUGGUUUUUUAUAUUCAAUUUGGCACCUAGUGGAUAUCCAAAUACUGAUAACUAUUAAUAUGACUUUAAACAUAGGCUUCAGUGCAUAGAGCAAUGGUUUGAAGUCACAUGGUUCUCCCACACUUCUUUGGGGUUGGCCUUUAAUGCAUGAAUGAGCUCACCUGAUUGGAAGGGGACACAGUAUCCUGCAUAAAAACAGGAAUUUCAUCUCCAACUCCUUCUAACUCAAACUAUCCUGUGCCAUAAAGGUUAGAGAUGUGGUAUUGGUGACUCAAAGAUACCAUGGCAACAUGGAGGAGUCCUAGGGAGGAAGGCUUAGCCUCAGAGCUUAGAUGUGGAGACAGGCCUGAGAUCCAACCCUUUUACUUUGUCCCUGCACCAGUGAAAACGGUAGCGAGCUGGGUCAGGAGAAGCCAGUGCUGGUAAUUGUGCAGCCUAUGAAGAAAGUCAGUUUUAUUCUAAGUAUUCAUGCUCUUAUCAGAUUCUAAAGUUGACAGAAUUGGCACGAAAUAAGAUCUGCAUGUUUAUGUCUGAGAAUGUUUCUUCUGGACCUCUAAACCCAUAAAGUCUCUAAAGAUCAGAUUUGACUUUAACUUUUUUUUUCAUUUUGGCCAUGCAGUUUAUCCAGUGGAAUGUGGUAAAAUAUGAACUAAAUUUCAUGGGCCAAAAUAAAUCUCUUUGUUAAAGUUGUGCCAUUUCUAACCUAUUCUUUCCAAAUGACUUUUUUUUUGUUACUUCUUAGUAUUUCUUGGUUGACCAAUUUAUACUUGUCAUCUUAAUCAAAUUUGAUUUAUUUGGUUAUAUUUUUAAAGAGCAGUGUACUCUUUCCAUCACUUCUCCUUCCCCAGAAAUAUUUUUUAAAUGUUUUUCUAAAAAACAAAACAAAAAAAUCUUUACUUUUUACUCCAUCCAUUGGUUCACUCCCUGGGCACCGCUUGUCCAGCCUCCUAUUUAUUUCUUAACAUCUCCCUACCUAUCCCCCCAAUUUUUCCUAAAAAUGCUUUCUUUGGGAAAGGAGCAUCAUCUGCUCAUCAGCUAUAUAAACUGAAAGGCUCGAGUUUCUUCUACUCUACCUUUGCCUUCCUCCUCCACAACCAGAGGUCACUAAGAUCUGUCCAUUUUACUUGCUGAAUGUCCUUUUUUAAAAUAAUGGCAUUAUAGAUACAUAAUUCAUAUACCACAAAAAUCACCCUUUUAAAAUGUAGUCAAGUGGCUCUUAUUAUAUUCACAGAGUUGUGAAACCAUCACCACUCUCUAUUUCCAGAACAUUUUCUUCAUUACCCCAAAAACAAAUCCUGUACCCAUUAACAGUCAGUCCCUGUACCUCUCCCAAGUGCCUAUCAAUUGACUUUUUGUCUCCAGGAUUUGGCUAUUCUGAAUAAUUCAUAUAAAUGAAAUCAUACAAUGUGUGGUCUGUUGUGACUGGCUUCUCUCACUUAGCAUAAUGUUUUCAAGGUUCAUCCACAUAAUAACAUGUAUCAGCUCUUUAUCCCUUUUUAUGGCUGAUAAUAUUCCACUAUAAGGAGGAUAUACCAUAUUGUGUUUAUCCUUCCAAUGGACAUUUAGGUUGUUUCCACUUUGGGCUAUUAUGAAUACUGCUGUUAUAAACGUUCAUAUGCAUGUUUUUGUAUGGAUGUGUUUUCAAUUCUAUUGGGUAGAUACUUAAGGAGUCAGAUUUCUGGAUCACAGGGUACUCCAAGUUUAAUAUUUGAGAAACUGCCAAACAGUUUUCCAAAGUUGCCGUGCCAUUUUACAACCCCACCGGAAGUGUAUGAAGGUUUGACUUGAUGAAUAUUGAAAUUUCUGCACCUUCCCCUCCAUCACACUAUCAAUGCCUUAUUCGGGUCCUCAUCACGUCUAACCUGAAAUAUGACCAUCAACUGAUUGACCUAGCCAUUGCUGCCCAGGCUUCCUGAUCCAUCUUCCCCACUUCCACCAGGGAGCACAAACCUGACCAAAUCACUUCAUGUUAAAGAUCACAGAUAUUUCACAUGGCCAAAAGGACUAAACAUAAUCUGGUGCCAGCUGCUUAGCCUCUGCUUCCUCUCCUUACACCUCACACAUCCUUUAUGCUCAGCUUCUAAGACUCUUCACUUACAAUGAAUUUAUUUGAAUUUUAGGGGCAACGUGAGAAUAUAUAUUUCAGUGGAACCAUGUCCUCUGCCAUCCAUAGCUGUCAUCCAGAAAAUAUUUAUUGAAUACCCACUACUCUAUUAGAAAAUGAUCAUAACUCUCCUCCCUCUUACAUUAUCCAUUAUUUGGACCUGAGGUAAAAUGUUGAAUCGAUCAAAAGUAUUUCUCACAUUUUUGGUCUUUAUUUGAUGGAAAAUGCUCAAUAAAUUGGACAAUUCACUGGACUUGAGCUUAAGAUCUACUAUUGAUUGAUAUUAUUAUUUCAUGUAUUCAAAAAAUACUUACUGAGCACUUAGUAUAUGCCAGAUACUGUUCUAGACACCUGGGAUACAAAAGAGAUAAAAUUUCCUGUUGUCAUGAGCUUUCCUUCUAGAAGGGAAAGACAGGCAAUGAACAAAUAAGUAAAAUACAGCAUUUUAAAUGACAAUAAGUGCUACAGAAAAUGAAAAGCAGGACUGGGGACAAGGACUGCUUGGAGAAGGUUGUAAUUUUAAAUAAAGUGGUCAGGAAAGGCCACACGGACAAGGUGAUGUUGGAGAAAAGAUCUGAAAGAAAUCAAAGUUUGCACCAUGUGGUUAUCUGUGAGAGGCGUCUUCCAGGGAGAGAGGACCCUGAGGCGGGAGGGUGUUUGAUGUGUUCUAGUAACAGCCAGGAGGCUAGUGCCCAUAGAACCACAUGAAUAACAGUAUGUGUUGAAUGAUGAGUCUGAUUGUUUCGUGAUAAAACUGAUAAUUACAUGGAUCCACCUUUUUACAGAGCAGGCAGCCCUAAGACCUCCUCAGAACAGGAAGCUAAGAAGCAGUAGGAGAAGAUCAAACUAGGCUCUGUUGCUGUUUAGUGAACACCAUGACCACUUGGGCUAGAACUUACUCUGAGAGAUGCUUAGAGCCCAGUCAUUUCCCUAACAUUGGUUAUUUUUGUCACUCCCCAUCUGCUAUCUGAAGAAGGGAGAUAUAAAAAGUCCAAGACGCCAAAAGAGGUUGCUUGCUUACUUCAGAAACAGCAGGGAGGCCAGAAGCUGGAAAGGUUUUCCAUCGUUCUAACAGCCACAGGGCAGUGGGGGCUGCUGAUCUGGAGAAGUAGGUGGAAGCAGUGAGGGAAGAAUUGGACUAAAUUCCCAUGUGUCGGGGUCAAAAGGCAAGGAAGAAGAGAUGAGGGCUGGCCAGGGAAGAGGACCACACUCCAGGGUUUGACUGGCAGGUGUUCAUGAGACCUCUGGCAAGUUUUGCGACUAUUUUGCAGGAGGACUGCAGCUCACUGGUUACCAUGCUUGCCCUUCUGAAAUAGAAGCUAUUUCCUGCACUGAAGAAUUUAAUUAUUGAAACCCAGAUUGUCAGAUAAAGUUACUGAUUUGUGCUUCUCCAGAAUAUUCCAGUAAAAGAAAAUAGUGCAUACCACUGCAUUUGUCUUUGCUUUUUUAAGCAUUAUUUUUUAAAGCAAAAAUAAAACAUGCACAUUAUUUCUAAAGUUAAAUUAUACCGGGUUUACGGCAGAGGAAAAAAAAAUCACCUCUUUUUUCCCCACUCCUCUUUGUUGACAUUCACUAUCAUCUCCUUUAGCUAUUUUUUAAAAAUCUGUAUCUCAAAACUUUCAAAUAACACAAUCACACAGCUAUUUUUCCAGUUUUAUAUGUUACCUAUUAAAUUCUCUCUUGCCCUCUUCCUAGUUCUCCAAUUAUCUCUCAUUCUCCUAAAAUAGUUAUAUGACUCUUGGGUUAAAUUGAUUCUCAGUGAUUACUAAUUAUAACGACUUAAAUUUUAUUCCCAGGUAAGUGAUAAUGUCCACUAGCAUCAUCUUUCCUCUUGCAUCACUUUCCCUCAAUCUCUGCCUUACACUCUACUGUUUUUGUUGUGGUUGAUGAGAAUGAUGUUUGUUUUGUUUUGUUUGUUUUUAAAGCUUACAUUUCCCUGUCUUCGAUUCUUUGUGCACACUUUUAUGUCUCAUGGAAAGUUCCUCUCCCACCCUUUCUCAGCCCUCCACUCCUCGGUCCACACAGGUUACUCAGCGUUUCCAUCUUUAACACUACUGUCCUCUGGGAAAUCCUCCUUGACACUCCAGCCUAGGUUAACCUCCUCGGGAUAUGCCAGUUACACUGCACUUCUUUAAAACACUCAUCCUAGCCAUCAGGUUUCAUAAGGAUAGGAUUGUGUUGGUCUCCUUUCUCAGCACCAAAACACUUUUAGACACAUAGUAGACUUUAAAUAAAUAUUUGUGGAAGAAAGGGAAGGAGGGAGAGAAAAGAUGAAUGAAGGAGGAAGGAAAGGGCUCAAAGAGACAGAAAGAGAGAAGGAAAGGGAAAAUGGAUAGACUUACUAUCCAAUUUAGUG
RNAcentral lists this long non-coding RNA (9018 nucleotides) under Homo sapiens (human). RNAcentral describes it as "HSALNT0047888". The record is from RNAcentral. Lineage: Eukaryota; Metazoa; Chordata; Mammalia; Primates; Hominidae.